GGUCUCUUGAUUAUAUAAGAGAUUUAACCUGCCCACUGAAAAAUUUGAAGGGCCGCAGUAUUUUGACUGUGCAAAGGUAGCAUAAUCAUUAGUCUUUUAAUUGAGGGCUUGUAUGAAUGGUUGGACGAGGUAAGAACUGUUUUAUGUUGAUUAUCAUUGAAUUUAGAUUUUAAGUAAAAAGACUUAAAUGUUAUUAGGGGACGAGAAGACCCUAUAGAGUUUAAUAUUCAAAGUUUUGAUUAAGUUAUGAGUAAAUUUUAGAUUACUAUAGAAAAUAUUUAAUUGGGGUGAUUAGAAAAUAUAAUAAACUUUUCUUUAGUUUGAAUGAAAUUAUUAAAUAUAAUGAUCCAUAGUUAGUGAUUGUAAGAUUAAAUUACCUUAGGGAUAACAGCAUAAUUCUUUUUGAGAGUUCAUAUCGAAAGAGGAGAUUGUGACCUCGAUGUUGGAUUAAGAUUAGUUUUAGGUGUAGAAGUUUAAAAAUUAAGUCUGUUCGACUUUUAAAAUCUUACA
Molecule: ribosomal RNA, 510 nt
Filed under: Tarachodula pantherina
Lineage: Eukaryota; Metazoa; Arthropoda; Insecta; Mantodea; Eremiaphilidae
Description: partial 16S ribosomal RNA
Rfam family: Bacterial large subunit ribosomal RNA
Source: RNAcentral